RNAcentral lists this long non-coding RNA (386 nucleotides) under Gallus gallus (chicken). Lineage: Eukaryota; Metazoa; Chordata; Aves; Galliformes; Phasianidae. The record is from RNAcentral.
CUGAAAGAUCACUCUGAAGGACUUCAUCUGAAGUUGCUCUAGCUAAAGCAGCAGCCAGAAAUGAAGGGCAAUUAUACUUGUAGAGCUGCUGCAGGCAGAGGUCCAGGCACUCGCCCUCCACCUCCUCCUCCGUGAUGUACUCCGACAGCGGCCGGGGCAGCGGGGGCAGCGGCGGGGGGGGCGGCGGCGGGGUGGGCGGCCGAGGGUCCGCGCUGUCUCCUUCCUCCGCCUCGGCGGCCGCCGCCUCUCCCUCAGCCGCGGGGUCCUCCUCGGAGGCGGCGGUGUCGACGGUGUCGGCGGCGGGAGGGGGGGGAGCCGGCGCCGGCUCUGCCCCGAAAGGCCCGCGGAACUCUCCCAAGAACAGCUCGAGGAAGCGGCGGUAGUUC